CUGCAAGGAGCCUGGUAUAGCUGGAGAGGAAUUCUUAAUCCACUGUGGUGAUGCUAUUACUUUGGGACUUACCAAUUUGGGCUUCUUCCAGAGCUGAAAA
This is a long non-coding RNA of Neogale vison (American mink), 100 nucleotides long. RefSeq lists it as uncharacterized. NCBI's taxonomy places the organism in Eukaryota, Metazoa, Chordata, Mammalia, Carnivora, Mustelidae. The transcript has 3 exons. The record is from RefSeq and is a predicted model, not a curated record.